Molecule: ribosomal RNA, 2273 nt
Filed under: human gut metagenome
Description: bacterial LSU rRNA
Rfam family: Bacterial large subunit ribosomal RNA
Source: RNAcentral
UUAAGUUAAUAAGGGCGCACGGUGGAUGCCUUGGCACUAGAAGCCGAAGAAGGACGUGACAAACGACGAAAUGCCUCGGGGAGCUGUAAGUAAGCACUGAUCCGGGGAUGUCCGAAUGGGGGAACCCACUAGCUACUGGCUAGUACUCUUAUCUGUUAAGGAUAGGAAGAGGAAGACGCAGUGAACUGAAACAUCUAAGUAGCUGCAGGAAGAGAAAGCAAAAGCGAUUGCCUUAGUAGCGGCGAGCGAAACGGCAGGAGGGCAAACCGAAGAGUUUACUCUUCGGGGUUGUAGGACUGCAACGUGGACUUAAAGAUUAUAGAAGAACUACCUGGGAAGGUAGGCCAAAGAGAGUAAUAGCCUCGUAUUCGAAAUAGUCUUUAUACCUAGCAGUAUCCUGAGUACGGCGAGACACGAGAAAUCUCGUCGGAAUCUGGGAGGACCAUCUCCCAACCCUAAAUACUCUCUAGUGACCGAUAGUGAACCAGUACCGUGAGGGAAAGGUGAAAAGCACCCCGGGAGGGGAGUGAAAUAGAACCUGAAACCGUGUGCCUACAACAAGUUCGAGCCCGUUAAUGGGUGAGAGCGUGCCUUUUGUAGAAUGAACCGGCGAGUUACGAUAUGAUGCGAGGUUAAGUUGAAGAGACGGAGCCGUAGGGAAACCGAGUCUGAAUAGGGCGAAUUAGUAUUAUGUCGUAGACCCGAAACCAUGUGACCUACCCAUGAGCAGGUUGAAGGUGAGGUAAAACUCACUGGAGGACCGAACCAGGGCACGUUGAAAAGUGCUUGGAUGACUUGUGGGUAGCGGAGAAAUUCCAAACGAACUUGGAGAUAGCUGGUUCUCUCCGAAAUAGCUUUAGGGCUAGCGUCGACAUCAAGAUUCUUGGAGGUAGAGCACUGUUUGGGUGAGGGGUCCAUCCCGGAUUACCAAUCUCAGAUAAACUCCGAAUGCCAAUGAAUUAUGGUCGGCAGUCAGACUGCGAGUGCUAAGAUCCGUAGUCGAAAGGGAAACAGCCCAGACCACCAGCUAAGGUCCCAAAAUAUAUGUUAAGUGGAAAAGGAUGUGGGGUUGCACAGACAACUAGGAUGUUGGCUUAGAAGCAGCCAUCAUUCAAAGAGUGCGUAAUAGCUCACUAGUCGAGUGACCCUGCGCCGAAAAUGUACCGGGGCUAAAACAAUUUACCGAAGCUGUGGAUACCUUUAAUGGUAUGGUAGGAGAGCGUUCUAUGUGUGGAGAAGGUGUACCGUGAGGAGCGCUGGAACGCAUAGAAGUGAGAAUGCCGGUAUGAGUAGCGAAAGACAGGUGAGAAUCCUGUCCACCGUAAGACUAAGGUUUCCAGGGGAAGGCUCGUCCGCCCUGGGUUAGUCGGGACCUAAGGAGAGACCGAAAGGUGUAUCCGAUGGACAACAGGUUGAUAUUCCUGUACUAGAGUAUGUAGUGAAGGAGGGACGCAGUAGGCUAACUAAAGCGUGCGACUGGAAGUGCACGUCUAAGCAGUGAGGUGUGAAUUGAGUUAAAUGCUUAGUUCUAUAACAUUGAGCUGUGAUGGGGAGCGAAGUUUAGUAGCGAAGUUAGUGAUGUCACACUGCCAAGAAAAGCUUCUAGCGUUAAUCAUACUCUACCCGUACCGCAAACCGACACAGGUAGUCGAGGCGAGUAGCCUCAGGUGAGCGAGAGAACUCUCGUUAAGGAACUCGGCAAAAUGACCCCGUAACUUCGGGAGAAGGGGUGCUGGCUUAAAGUCAGCCGCAGUGAAUAGGCCCAAGCAACUGUUUAUCAAAAACACAGCUCUCUGCUAAAUCGUAAGAUGAUGUAUAGGGGGUGACGCCUGCCCGGUGCUGGAAGGUUAAGAGGAGUGCUUAGCGUAAGCGAAGGUAUGAAUUGAAGCCCCAGUAAACGGCGGCCGUAACUAUAACGGUCCUAAGGUAGCGAAAUUCCUUGUCGGGUAAGUUCCGACCCGCACGAAAGGCGUAAUGAUUUGGGCACUGUCUCAACGAGAGACUCGGUGAAAUUUUAGUACCUGUGAAGAUGCAGGUUACCCGCGACAGGACGGAAAGACCCCAUGGAGCUUUACUGUAGCUUGAUAUUGAAUUUUGAUGCAGUAUGUACAGGAUAGGUAGGAGCCUAAGAAUCAUGCACGCCAGUGUAUGAGGAGGCGUUGUUGGGAUACUACCCUUGCUGUAUUGAAAUUCUAACCCUCGGCAUAGAAAACCGGGAGACAGUGUCAGGUGGGCAGUUUGACUGGGGCGGUCGCCUCCCAAAGAGUAACGGA